UGCAAGUAGAACGCUGAAGAGAGGAGCUUGCUCUUCUUGGAUGAGUUGCGAACGGGUGAGUAACGCGUAGGUAACCUGCCUUGUAGCGGGGGAUAACUAUUGGAAACGAUAGCUAAUACCGCAUAACAAUGGAUGACUCAUGUCAUUUAUUUGAAAGGGGCAAUUGCUCCACUACAAGAUGGACCUGCGUUGUAUUAGCUAGUAGGUGAGGUAACGGCUCACCUAGGCGACGAUACAUAGCCAACCUGAGAGGGUGAUCGGCCACACUGGGACUGAGACACGGCCCAGACUCCUACGGGAGGCAGCAGUAGGGAAUCUUCGGCAAUGGGGGCAACCCUGACCGAGCAACGCCGCGUGAGUGAAGAAGGUUUUCGGAUCGUAAAGCUCUGUUGUAAGUCAAGAACGAGUGUGAGAGUGGAAAGUUCACACUGUGACGGUAGCUUACCAGAAAGGGACGGCUAACUACGUGCCAGCAGCCGCGGUAAUACGUAGGUCCCGAGCGUUGUCCGGAUUUAUUGGGCGUAAAGCGAGCGCAGGCGGUUUGAUAAGUCUGAAGUUAAAGGCUGUGGCUCAACCAUAGUUCGCUUUGGAAACUGUCAAACUUGAGUGCAGAAGGGGAGAGUGGAAUUCCAUGUGUAGCGGUGAAAUGCGUAUAUAUAUGGAGGAACACCGGUGGCGAAAGCGGCUCUCUGGUCUGUAACUGACGCUGAGGCUCGAAAGCGUGAGGAGCGAACAGGAUUAGAUACCCUGGUAGUCCACGCCGUAGACGAUGAGUGCUAGGUGUUGGAUCCUUUCCGGGAUUCAGUGCCGCAGCUAACGCAUUAAGCACUCCGCCUGGGGAGUACGACCGCAAGGUUGAGACUCAAAGGAAUUGACGGGGGCCCGCACAAGCAGUGGAGCAUGUGGUUUAAUUCGAAGCAACGCGAAGAACCUUACCAGGUCUUGACAUCCCGAUGCUAUUUCUAGAGAUGGAAAGUUACUUCGGUACAUC
This 991-nucleotide ribosomal RNA is filed under the name Streptococcus salivarius. RNAcentral describes it as "bacterial SSU rRNA". It matches the Rfam family "Bacterial small subunit ribosomal RNA", at positions 56 to 1030 of the family's 1533-position model. The record is from RNAcentral. Lineage: Bacteria; Bacillati; Bacillota; Bacilli; Lactobacillales; Streptococcaceae.